UAACAACCUGAGCAGCUACUACUCCAUAAUGGAAGGAUCCAGACGUGCUUGUGUCAUCUGACUGUUUCUACCCAGGAAGCAGUGGGGAGUCUCUUGGCUGGAUUAGGAAUACAUCAUUAUUCCUGUGGAAGAGCUGAAAGUGGUGGAAAUGGAGAGGAAGGUCUGGGCAUGUCUGCUGAGACUGCUGCCCCAACAUCUGGAUGCUGACAAGCAGUGGAAAGUGGAUGGAUGGAGGAAUGUAACCAUGAUGACUAUGAUGGAUGGACAGGAAAGACUCUGAGAAAACUUCAAACUAAAAGAUCAUAAGAAGAGAACAGAAACCAAACCAUUCCUGUACAUGUUGCUUCUAUGUGAUUAACCUCACUGCUAUUUCAGCUAAUAUUGUGUGAGUAGUGAGUGGUGUUCUUUGCCUCUCGCAGAUCAGGGUUCACUGAGUAAGCAUUGCUGGGUUUUCAUAAAAAAUGUAAACUAAAACUUUAUUUAAUACAUCGGAAAGACCUACAUGUAAAAUAUGAGCUUUUCGUGACAUUGGUUUUUCAAAGUUUAAUUUCAGUUUUUGAUCAUUUAUGGAGUGUGAUGACAGCUGCCAUGUUGUCUCUCUUCACUCUAACAGUCACUCGAUUAUCAGUUAUUAUUAUUUUCACUCCAGAGACACUGGCACAUGUCCCUGCAUGAACCAUGUAAAUGAUCCAGCUGAUGUAUGGGGACGUUAUCUCUGUCGUGUUCUGUGCUGGUUUGUUGUGGAUUCUGUGACCCCCUCUGAGUCCAGAGCAGGCUUUUCCUCCAUCAUCCAGGGGUGGAGUCAUGAUUCCCGCCCUUCAUCAUCCUCAUUAAACACAGCAUCACCUCCCCUACCUGAGGAGGGAGUUACUCACCUUUACAGCUUACCUGCUUCCUCAGAGCUGGUCCUCUUCCUUCUGGAACACACUUCCUUUGCAUCCUGGUCUUCAGGGAACCUCUCCCUGCGAGUAAAAAGAAACAGUGGCAGAAGGAUUCUCUCCUGCAAUGAUCAAACCUUAUUUGAGUAGCUUUGUUGUAAGAAAUAAAAGCCUUGUGACUGUGAA
Pundamilia nyererei is the source of this 1064-nucleotide long non-coding RNA. RefSeq lists it as uncharacterized. The record is from RefSeq and is a predicted model, not a curated record. NCBI's taxonomy places the organism in Eukaryota, Metazoa, Chordata, Actinopteri, Cichliformes, Cichlidae. The transcript has 2 exons.